GAUGAACGCUGGCGGCGUGCCUAACACAUGCAAGUCGAACGAAGCGCCUGGCCCCGACUUCUUCGGAACGAGGAGCCUUGCGACUGAGUGGCGGACGGGUGAGUAACGCGUGGGCAACCUGCCUUGCACUGGGGGAUAACAGCCAGAAAUGGCUGCUAAUACCGCAUAAGACCGAAGCGCCGCAUGGCGCGCGGCCAAAGACCCGGCCGGUGCAAGAUGGCCGCGUCUGAUAGGUAGUUGGCGGGGUAACGGCCACCAAGCCGACCGAUCAGUAGCCGACCUGAGAGGGUGA
Molecule: ribosomal RNA, 292 nt
Filed under: uncultured bacterium
Lineage: Bacteria
Description: partial 16S ribosomal RNA
Rfam family: Bacterial small subunit ribosomal RNA
Source: RNAcentral